Molecule: ribosomal RNA, 94 nt
Filed under: Nitrospirillum amazonense
Lineage: Bacteria; Pseudomonadati; Pseudomonadota; Alphaproteobacteria; Rhodospirillales; Azospirillaceae
Source: RNAcentral
AAUACACCCGAUCCCAUCCCGAACUCGGCCGUGAAAUCCCCCAGCGCCAAUGGUACUGCGUCUUAAGACGUGGGAGAGUAGGUCGCCGCCAGGU